This is a non-coding RNA of Clostridiaceae bacterium BRH_c20a, 135 nucleotides long. The record is from Rfam. NCBI's taxonomy places the organism in Bacteria, Bacillati, Bacillota, Clostridia, Eubacteriales, Clostridiaceae.
AGAUGCAAGAAGAAGCUAUCCGCUUCUCACCUUAUGGCUAUGGCUUAUAGGGUUAUAAACCAAGAAAUGUAACGCAAGUUAUAUAUUAUGGUUGUUUUUAAGCGGAUGGGUUUCCAUCCGCUUUUUAUUUUUGGA